Molecule: transfer RNA, 73 nt
Filed under: archaeon GW2011_AR5
Lineage: Archaea
Also listed under: 4 other names
Description: tRNA-Pro
Rfam family: tRNA
About the family: Transfer RNA (tRNA) molecules are approximately 80 nucleotides in length. Their secondary structure includes four short double-helical elements and three loops (D, anti-codon, and T loops).
Source: RNAcentral
GGGCCCGUAGUCUAGCUUGGUAGGAUCCUACCUUGGGGUGGUAGUGGCCUGUGUUCAAAUCACAGCGGGCCCA